AUACUGCCCAAGCGGGGAAGGAUGAGAAGCUUCGACCAAGGUUCGACUUGAGCGCCAGCGAGAGAGCGUUGCCGCAGGCAACGACCCGAAGGGCGAAGUGCGCAGCGCUGAGUAAUCCUUCCCCCACCACCA
RNAcentral lists this small RNA (132 nucleotides) under Escherichia coli. RNAcentral's name for it is "RtT sRNA". It matches the Rfam family "RtT RNA". From Rfam's summary of the family: This family represents a bacterial cis-regulatory element known as RtT RNA. Lineage: Bacteria; Pseudomonadati; Pseudomonadota; Gammaproteobacteria; Enterobacterales; Enterobacteriaceae. The record is from RNAcentral.